UAUAUUUCAGUGGAUGACACUAAAGAUUUUGAUUCUUUAAAGUUUAAUUAAUUAUUAAAAAAUAUAA
RNAcentral lists this transfer RNA (67 nucleotides) under Potamyia chinensis. RNAcentral describes it as "tRNA-Gln". The record is from RNAcentral. Lineage: Eukaryota; Metazoa; Arthropoda; Insecta; Trichoptera; Hydropsychidae.